GACGAACCGUGCGAACGUUGUUCGGAUUCAUUGGGCGUAAAGGGUGCGUAGGCGGCGCGGUAAGUCGGAUGUGAAAUCUCGGAGCUUAACUUCGAAACUGCAUUCGAUACUGCCGUGCUUGAGGACUGGAGAGGAGACUGGAAUUUACGGUGUAGCGGUGAAAUGCGUAGAUAUCGUAAGGAAGACCAGUGGCGAAGGCGGGUCUCUGGACAGUUCCUGACGCUGAGGCACGAAGGUCAGGGGAGCAAACGGG
RNAcentral lists this ribosomal RNA (253 nucleotides) under uncultured bacterium. Its description in RNAcentral is "partial 16S ribosomal RNA". It matches the Rfam family "Bacterial small subunit ribosomal RNA", at positions 524 to 776 of the family's 1533-position model. The record is from RNAcentral.